GUCUAUGGCCAUGCUACCCUGAACAAGCCUGAUCCUGUCUGAUCUUGGUAGCUAAGCAGGGUCAGGCCUGGUUAGUAUUUGGAUGGGAGACCACCUGGGAAGACCAGGUGCUGUAGGCA
This 119-nucleotide ribosomal RNA is filed under the name Pteropus alecto (black flying fox). Lineage: Eukaryota; Metazoa; Chordata; Mammalia; Chiroptera; Pteropodidae. The record is from RNAcentral.